Molecule: ribosomal RNA, 497 nt
Filed under: uncultured bacterium
Lineage: Bacteria
Description: partial 16S ribosomal RNA
Rfam family: Bacterial small subunit ribosomal RNA
Source: RNAcentral
GAUGAACGCUGGCGGCGUGCCUAAUACAUGCAAGUCGAGCGAACAGACGAGGAGCUUGCUCCUCUGACGUUAGCGGCGGACGGGUGAGUAACACGUGGAUAACCUACCUAUAAGACUGGGAUAACUUCGGGAAACCGGAGCUAAUACCGGAUAAUAUAUUGAACCGCAUGGUUCAAUAGUGAAAGACGGUUUUGCUGUCACUUAUAGAUGGAUCCGCGCCGCAUUAGCUAGUUGGUAAGGUAACGGCUUACCAAGGCAACGAUGCGUAGCCGACCUGAGAGGGUGUUCGGCCACCCUGGAACUGAGCCACGGUCCAGACUCCUACGGGAGGCAGCAGUAGGGAAUCUUCCGCAAUGGGCGAAAGCCUGACGGGGCAACGCCGCUUGAGUGAUGAAGGUCUUCGGAUCGUAAAACUCUGUUAUUAGGGAAGAACAAAUGUGUAAGUAACUAUGCACGUCUUGACGGUACCUAAUCAGAAAGCCACGGCUAACUACGUG